GACGAACGCUGGCGGCGCGCUUAACACAUGCAAGUCGUACGGUAAGGCCCUUUCGGGGGUACACGAGUGGCGAACGGGUGCGUAACACGUGCGUAACCUGCCCACAACUUUGGGAUAACGCUAGGAAACUGGUGCUAAUACUGGAUAUGUGCUCCUGCUGCAUGGUGGGGGUUGGAAAGCUCCGGCGGUUGUGGCUGGACUCGCGGCCUAUCAGCUUGUUGGUGGGGUAGUGGCCUACCAAGGCGGCGACGGGUAGCCGGCCUGAGAGGGUGACCGGCCACAUUGGGACUGAGAUACGGCCCAGACUCCUACGGGAGGCAGCAGUGGGGAAUAUUGCACAAUGGGCGCAAGCCGGAUGCAGCAACGCCGCGUGCGGGAUGACGGCCUUCGGGUUGUAAACCGCUUUCAGCAGGGACGAAGCUUUUUGUGACGGUACCUGCAGAAGAAGCACCGGCUAACUACGUG
This 465-nucleotide ribosomal RNA is filed under the name uncultured bacterium. Its description in RNAcentral is "partial 16S ribosomal RNA". It matches the Rfam family "Bacterial small subunit ribosomal RNA", at positions 28 to 507 of the family's 1533-position model. The record is from RNAcentral.